GGGCCUAUAGUUCAUCGGUAGAACGCGCCCAUGGCAUGGGCGAGGGCGGGGUUCAAUUCCCCGUAGGUCCA
This is a transfer RNA of 71 nucleotides. It matches the Rfam family "tRNA". Rfam says of the family: Transfer RNA (tRNA) molecules are approximately 80 nucleotides in length. Their secondary structure includes four short double-helical elements and three loops (D, anti-codon, and T loops). Further hydrogen bonds mediate the characteristic L-shaped molecular structure. tRNAs have two regions of fundamental functional importance: the anti-codon, which is responsible for specific mRNA codon recognition, and the 3' end, to which the tRNAs corresponding amino acid is attached (by aminoacyl-tRNA synthetases). tRNAs cope with the degeneracy of the genetic code in two manners: having more than one tRNA (with a specific anti-codon) for a particular amino acid; and 'wobble' base-pairing, i.e. permitting non-standard base-pairing at the 3rd anti-codon position.